RNAcentral lists this long non-coding RNA (6736 nucleotides) under Lactuca sativa (garden lettuce). RNAcentral's name for it is "long non-coding RNA (LSAT_LNC003351)". The record is from RNAcentral. Lineage: Eukaryota; Viridiplantae; Streptophyta; Magnoliopsida; Asterales; Asteraceae.
AUAAAACCAUGGGAUCACUACCCCGAAUGAGAUAUAGGAUAAUUGGAUAAAGUCAUGGGAUUACCAUCCCGUACAAGAUAUAGAUUCUAAAACCAAAGCUCUGAAUAAACUUAUAUUAAUACAUAUUGUGAGUCGGGUAACCAUGCUGAUACGACAACGAGACCUCCUUGACGUUAGUCAGACGUCGGACGAUAUCUAGAAUUUGUCACCCCAGGCAUGCCCGCCUAACUGUAGCUAGCAAUUAAGGUGUGGGAUUGUCAGUCCCGAAUAGAUCUAUUCACAAAUUCCUCGCUCUCCCUCCAGGAGACUCUGGUUACACUUCCGGGGAGGAUUUACUGAUCAUCCAUAAAGGGUAGUGACUACUCACAAACUAGUACUAAACUAUUCACAGGAUUCUCAUACGAUAUCAAACAUACAAAGAUUAUGAAACAUAAUACAGUGAAAAUAGAUACAUACAAUGAAACUAUCUGGCAAUACAUUCAAAUGAUACGGAGAUAAACUGAAUCAGACAUAGUUUAUCUAAUAACUUUAUAUAGAUAUCAGUACAUGAUAAAACGAACACUAAAGAAUUCCCAAAUUAUUCCCAUAAUAAUUUGAUUAGUUUGGUUAUUUUCUUAACUAAAAUCCAUUUAGUUGUAAUUGAUAAAUCAUUCCUUAUGCUCAGCAUAAUACAUAAGGAGUAAAAGUGUUUAUAAGUUUGCCAGAUAUUAUUUGAAACAUAUCAAUGUUAUGAUUUGAAAACAGUUAUAGUUUGCUUGUAUUCCCCCCCCUGAAAACAUUGAAAAGCACAAAAAAGGCGUAGGGGUAUGAACUCACCGAACGAGAAACGUGACGAUUUCGGAUGCUAAACGUUGGUUCGGGGCUUGCAAACGCACGAGGUUCCUAAGUAUAAUGUAAAGAUACACAUUUGUAUCUAAUUAGGACUUAGUUUAUUUAUUUGUUAGGGACAAUUACUUCUAAUCGCGAAAACACCCUGAUACAAGUGUUUGGAGGGACCCGGGUGGCAUUUAGGGACACAUUUAGCUAGGAUAUUGAAUUGGGACUUCAAGAGUAAACUCCUUACGGAGUUUACAGCCCUAAUGACCCCCUCCCCAUGAGUUUACGUCCGUAAACUCAUGGUGGGGUAGUUUAUGGUGCAAAAUGGCUUCAAACACUUAGGGAAUAAUUUCUAGGUUUGGUUUAAGGGCUUGGAAUAAUUUUUAAACAACAAAUGACAUACUUAAGGGAGUUUACGGCCUAGCAUAGGACUCAUGGCUGUAAACUCCUAUAAACCCAUGAAAAAUAGUGUUUUUAAUUCCAAACAAAUCACAUGUGAUUGCUAAAAUUAUUUCAAGGCCUUACAUGAAUUUUUAUGGGACAUUUGGGGUGUUUUUGGAGUUUACGGCCUAUGAGACCCCCCUCAUGGCCGUAAACUCUCCUAGAGAGGGAUUCAUUAUGUUUUAAGGCCAAAAACUUGUUUGUAAACACUUCUAAAAAUUAUUCUAAGGCUUUAGGGGUGUUAAAGUGGCUUUCUAACACCUUAAAUUGAGUUUACACCCAAGGUUGAGGAGUUUACGGCCCAAGCACAUGCCUUGGCCGUAAACUCAUAUAAAUCCCCCAAAAUUUAUGUUUAAAGUGUUCCAAGGCUAAAGCAAUUAUUCUAGAAGUCAUAUCCAUGUCUUGUUGAGGUUUAGGAAGGGUUUAAGGGCUUAAAAACCCUAUAAUUAUGAGUUUACGGCCUAAAAACCAUCUUUGGCCAUAAACUCAUAUACAAGUCUCCAAAGUUUAGUUUAAGGCAUUCUAGGUCCAUUCCAUAAAGCCAUCUAGCCAUAUCUAAGGUCCAAUUGUGUUUUGGAAGGGUUUUUGUGCUCCAAAACCCAUUUCAUAUGAGUUCACGGCCUAGGACUAUUCCAGGGCCGUAAACUCAUGAAUGUGGUCCUAUUCCAUGUUUUGAACUCGAAUUUGAAGGCUAGGGAGGUUACAUAUCAAGUUAGGGAAGGUACCUCAAAGAUUUGGAGCCUAAAAUUGAUGAUUUGGACCCUUAAACUUGGAUUUAGGAGAGAGGUUAGAGAGAGAGUAGAGAGAGGAAGAAAAAGCUUCAAAUGAAUGUUUAAACACAUUUAUAUAGGUCCUAAAACUUGGACACUAUGGAAUUCUACCCGAUACCGGCCUUAAACGGGGCUUUAGGUCGCACUCGAUUAAGUUUCCGUCACCCGGCGGGGACAUUUCUAACUUUUUGAAAUAAACGUUUUUGGGCUAGAUUCAUGAGUUCCUAAAGGAUUUGGACACUCAUUGGAUUUAUAAUAAACAUAUAAAUUUAAAUAAUUCAACCCAAAACGAAAACGGAACGAUUGACAAACGGCGAAUCUUUACGGGUAGAACGGGUUAUCGGUGAUGAACAACUUCGGGUUGUUACAUUAUCCCCCCGUUAAAGGGAAUUUCGUCCCGAAAUUCAAAGAAUAAGAUAUAGAUCAUGAAUUUUGGUAUGAAACACGAAUGGAUUUGUUGCCUCGGAUCUUCACUUUCUUCAAGUGGAAUCAGGUCUCUACUGGGCGUUCUAGCGAAUUCUCAUUAUCGGAACAUGUCUUUGUUUUGCACAUUGACUCUCUCUCUCAAUCUACGAUAUUAAUCGGUUCUCUGAUGAAAGUUCCAACCCUGGACGACUUCGAUUUACUCAAAGGAAGAACUAGGGUUUCGUUGGGUAGAUGCUUCUAAGGAUUCGAGACAUGAUGUACUGGAUAGAUGUUAACAAGCUCUAAGGGCAUCCGAAAUCUGAAGAUUGCAGAAUCGAUUUCUAUGAAGAUCUCGAAUGGUCUGAUGUGGGACUAAACUAGACGUUCGAAAGAAAUUCUCGGGAAUCCUUCGGGAAAGACAUUUAGAGGAAGGAGCUGCUAACUUCCCGUUUCUCAUUGAUUACAGAAACGUGGGAUGCGUGGUGAUUCAUAUCGGGAAAAACUUUUGAGUUCUAAGGCAUGGAAUGAUACGAAGGUUUGAUGCCGAAGAUUACGAGAACCGGGUCGAGGAAAAGAUCUAGACGAGCGACCCUUUCGAAACCGAGGAUAACAACAUGAAUGAGACUCAGUCAUUUCAUGGUAAACAUAGCAUCAAAGUAUUUUCUUGGAAAGUUUUCCCCCUUUUAAGUCGAAUGGAAAAGAACAGUCCUCCGGACUAAGGAUUCAACCUAUAGGUACGAAGUUAGUGUCCUCUAUCUCACUAGUUAGUCAUCUCGACGGUACACAUUUCGAUUACAUACGAAGGAUUGAGUUUAGAAAAUGUUCGAAUAGAUAGAUGACAUGUUUCCCUUUUUGUACUAGAAUCGAAAAGAGUUGCAGGUAUAAGGAUUAUUAAAGAGAAGUAUACCUGCGGUGACAGAGGGAUCAACGGUUGAAGCUGCUUUGGGGCAAUUCCUUUUGAAGUGCCUUGCCUCGCCACAAUUGUAGCAGGAUGGACUGAUUCCCGCUCCGGAUGAUUGGUUCGUUGAUUUUGCUGGUUUUCUGCAGGUUCGAGCAAGAUGGCCCUUCUUGCCAUAGUUAUCACAGAUCCUUUUGCGACAAGGACCAGGAAUGCGGUGAUGGUAGCUGCACUUAUCACAUCAAGGAAGGGUACCAGUGUAUCCACUGGUUGGAGUUUGGGCUGUGGAACCGACAGCCGAAAUUCCAAUAGGGGCAGUAGCAGCAUGGACUGCCAUCGUUUGCUGUUUCUUAGAAGACCCUCGCGUACUCUGGGCCUUCCGCUUGUUCCAGAAUUUCUUUUUGCUUUCACCUCCACUUGUGACUGGCUCAGGGGUGGUAGCCUCCUCAUCAGAGUUGUCUUCAUGAUCGAUCAAGAUUUUCGUAAGACAUUUUGCGCUGUCAUAUGUGUAUGGCCUUGCAGCUAAGACAUUACCUUUGGUUGGCUGGGUCAACCCCCAGAUGAACCUCUCAAUCUUUUUACUCUCCGGGGUAACCCUUCCCGGACAGAGUAACGCCAAAUCAUCGAAUCUUGAAGUAUAAGCGACUAUGUCGGAACCCUUCAUCUUAAGGUUCCAGAGUUCGUGUUCUAGCUUCUGGAGUUCGCCCCGAGGGCAAUAUUCUGCGAGCAGAAGCUCCUUCAUAGCUUCCCAACCCAUAGCAUUCACUACAGGUAAAGUUAAAGAUUUGACUCGGCCAUUCCACCAAGUCAAGGCUUUGUCUAGGAAGGUGCAGGCGGUGAAUUUAACUUUGUCAGAUUCCGUGCAGGCGCAUAUUUCAAAGAUUGAUUCGAUUUUCUCGAACCAUCGGGUAAGGGAAAUGACACCUCUAGUGCCAUCAAAGGAUGUGGGCUUCACGUUCAUGAAGUCUUUAUAGGAACCCCUUUUUGGUGUCCCUGGCUAUCUUCUGGAUUUUGGGGCUGGGGACCACCUCCUGAAUUACCAGGGUUCAUUUGCGACAUGGCUGCUACCAUUGCAGCAGUCAGAACUGUCUGAAGUGAUGCAAGAUCAAGUUGAGGAGGAGGUGGUGGCGGAGGAGGAUUGUUGUUGUUCUUUGAGCUGGGUCUCUUUCUUGGAGGCAUCUUGAUCUAAAAAGAUCAGGAAAGAGAGGAUCAUAAGUCCUCUGAAUUGAAUCAAGAGAUAUGGAACAGGGGAUAUCUCAUCAAGACAGAUAUAACACUAUAUUAAGCGAUAAAGCAGGAAAGAGUUAUCAAGACAGAACAUUUUAUCGCUAGAGGAAUGAUCAAGGAACAACGCGUAUACGAGGAUUUUCUACAAAGGAUUGACUCGAGAAAUACUCCCAUAGUAUUUCAUGAUUCACUGCAACGACGACUCGUUGUUUGGGGUAUUGGGUAAGUUUUAGGCAUGCUGCAUACCACAGUCACUCCCAAGCACAUGUUGGCCGUGUCUCGAAUGAAUAUAGUUGGCCAGGCUAUAUUGAUCCUAGACACGACUACAUAACUGCCCAGGUUUAACCGCAGCGUACAACACCCAUUCACUUAUGUUUUGUUCUACUGGUAGUUACGAAUCUCGAUGUUUCGGUAUACUUGUAUACUUUCGAAAAUACUUAUAUUUUGAAGGAUACUUUUAGUUCAGAGCACUUAGGCCCUUUAAUGUUUAUAGUUUUAUACCAUGUAAGGUUUGGUAUACUCCGUUCACUAUAAACAAGGGCUCUGAUACCAAUCUGUCACACCCCGAAAACCAAAGGCGGAAACAUUUCCGGGGUUGACUCCACGUUGAGUAUCAAAUCCAAUGUACAUAGUAAUCACAGUAAACAACCAUUACAUUACAUAUAUUUGAAAGUUUACAUUUGUUUCAAAAGUAAAUUGUACAAGUGUUAUACAUAUAUCAUAUAAACAAAAGUUGAUACAAGUCUUCCGAGCACUCCGUCUUCACCAAAAGAUAUUGCCGGGUACCUGUCUAUCUUGGACCUGAGAAUACAAGCAGUUUGAAAAUCAGCAUAAAGCUGGUGAGUUCAUAAGCGGUUUUGUUUUAUGAAACUGUAUCGGUUUCCUUUAGUUUUCCGAAAAGGUUUGUUAUCCAAGAAAAUCCCAUAUUUUCUUAUGUAAAGUUAGUUUGGUUAUCUUUCGUUACAGUUCAGUUACGCGUUAUAUGUUAACCCCAGGAAAAUCCCAUAUUUUCCUAAAUGCAAGAUUGAUUGAAUAACACAGAGUAUAGUUUAAUACACAAAACUAUAUAUUGAAAAUCAUGGGAUUACUAUCCCGAAUUAGAUAUGAAAUACUAUAAUAUACACGAACUGUAGAUAGAAAGUAGUUUGAAAACCUUGGGACUAACAUCCCGAACUAGUUACAAGAUAGUUUGAUAUACUUGAAAAUAUAGAUUGAAAACCAUGGGACUACUAUCCCGAACUAGAUAUAAGAUUGUUUGAUAAAACCAUGGGAUCACUAUCCCGAACUAGAUAUAAUAUAGAUUGAUAAAGCCAUGGGAUUAUUAUCCCGUACGAGAUAUAGUUUCAAAACCAUGGGAUUACCAUCCCGUACAAGAUAUAGAUUGAAAUCAUGGGACUAUCAUCCCGUAUUAGAUACAAGUUCGAUAGACUGAAAACCAUGGGACUACCAUCCCGGACUAGAUACAAAAUAGUUUGAUAAAACCAUGGGAUCACUAUCCCGAACUAGAUAUAGAUUCUAAAACCAAAGCUGUGAAUAAACUUAUAUUAAUACAUAUUGUGAGUCGGGUAACCAUGCUGAUACGACAACGAGACCUCCUUGACGUUAGUCAGACGUCGGACGAUAUCCAGAAUUUGUCACCCCAGGCGUGCCCGCCUAACUGUAGCUAGCAGUUAAGGUGUGGGAUUGUCAGUCCCGAAUAGAUCUAUUCACAAAUUCCUCGCUCUCCCUCCAGGAGACUCUGGUUACACUUCCGGGGAGGAUUUACUGAUCAUCCAUAAAGCGUAGUGACUACUCACAAACUAGUACUAAACUAUUCACAGGAUUCUCAUAUGAUAUCAAACAUACGAAGAUUAUGAAACAUAAUAUAGUGAAAAUGGAUACAUACAAUGAAACUAUCUGGCAAUACAUUCAAAUGAUGCGGAGAUAAACUGAAUCAGACAUAGUUUAUCUAAUAACUUUAUAUAGAUAUUAGUACAUGAUAAAACGAACACUAAAGAAUUCCCAAAUGAUUCCCAUAAUAAUUUGAUUAGUUUGGUUAUUUUCUUAACUUAAAUCCAUUUAGUUGUAAUUGAUAAAUCAUUCCUUAUGCUCAGCGUAAUACAUAAGGAGUAAAAGUGUUUAUAAGUUUGCCAGAUAUUAUUUGAAACAUAUCAAUGUUAUGAUUUGAAAACCGUUAUAG